This 4209-nucleotide unclassified non-coding RNA is filed under the name Portunus trituberculatus (swimming crab). RNAcentral describes it as "protein draper-like, transcript variant X8". The record is from RNAcentral. Lineage: Eukaryota; Metazoa; Arthropoda; Malacostraca; Decapoda; Portunidae.
CUCGGCUGACGGACGAGAACGGUUCAGUAAGGUUUGUUCCAUGAUAGAGGGAGGUUGCGUCGGACUCCCGCUCCACCCAGAGAACGCUGCUCCCAGCGCUGUAUAUUCGUAAUAACAUUGCCGUCUGUUGAGUGCCUCGCCUUUUAGUGUUACGUGCGUGUUGGCUCCAGAAUAGCAAGGACUGCAUCAUAUUACUUCCAGAAACGGGUAAUUAGUGAUUGAAGAGAGCUUAUCGAGUGUUACUAAGUGAGGGCAGGUGAGGUUUUGUAGGCGUGGGUGUGUCACUGAACCAAUCACACCAACGCCUCCCCGACCACGCUCCCUCCAUGCCCACGCCUCCACACGCUCCACGCUGCUGGGGAAUGUGGAUCAAGGUGUGAAAGUGUGUGUGUGUGUGUAAGAAACUUGCUCUUUUCCUGGAUCUUCUUCGGACUGUGGGUGAGGCAAUACUAACAGUUAACCUGAAACUUGAACUGUCCUACAUACGGAGAAGUUUCUAUUCCUGGCAUGUCGUCAUAACGGUGAUUGGGAUUGGAAAAGACUAACGCCGCACGCCGCCUCCACCACUCAAAGCCGUACGCAGGAUUACAAAGGAUAGCAAGUAGAAGCACGUCUCUAAAUCCUUCUUGUGUUGCCUGAUUGCAUUGUACUAACGAGGAGAGGCAGGAUAGUGCAGUGGGAGGCUUUAUGCGUUGAAAUGUAACGUAGUGGUACAGUACAUCCUUUCAAUGACUCGAGUGAGGGACUUUCAAUCUUGCAAGCGACUCCCCGCCAUCGGCGUAUAUGGUAAUGACGUGAGAGUAGGCCAUAAUACCACCACCACCACCGCCACUGCAGUAAUGGCAGCAAGAAUGUGGAUGGUGUGGGCGGUAUGGGCUACGGCGGUGGUUGCGGUGACUUGGGUGCCGACGGUUGGGGCGACGGCGCUCAGAGGACCUAAUGUUUGCAACAAACAAGAAACGUACACAAGUUUUGUGAAUGUGUCUUACUCCAAAGCCUACCAAGUUCGAACGUACACAUUCUGCUUAAGUAUUCCACCCAAAUGCUCCAAGUACAAGAUAGCUUACAAGACUUCAUUUAAAAGACAGAGUCAGACCAAGACAAGGACUGUAAAUGUGUGUUGCUCAGGGUACACCAGAGUGCCAGCUGAGGAUAGGUGUAUGCCCAUCUGCUCCCAGGACUGUAUACAUGGGAUCUGCAUCAAGCCAGAUGAGUGCCGCUGUGAAGCUGGCUACUCAGGCCCUAGCUGUAAUAUAAGUGAGCUCGUGGUCUCUGGUAAUGACUCCCUCACAGAUGACUCACUCCACAGUCAUAACUUAUCGUGUCCUGAGGGGAAAUGGGGAGUGGGGUGCGUCCACGACUGUCCAUGCCUCCAUGAAGGGAAGUGUGACCCACUGUAUGGAAACUGUUCCUGUCAUGCUGGCUGGAUUGGACCAUACUGUGAAGAAAAGUGUCAAGAGGGAUACUAUGGAGUGGAUUGCAAAGACCGGUGUCGCUGUCAGAAUGGAGGGACAUGUGACCAUGUGUCUGGUGCGUGUCGCUGUCCCCCAGGUUGGACAGGACCCCUGUGUGAAAAAUCCUGCCCUGAGGGAACGCAUGGUGCUGCCUGCAGUAGCAAGUGCCAGUGUCAGAACGGUGGCCACUGUGAUCAUGUUACAGGGAAGUGCCAGUGUCCUGCAGGAUGGACAGGAGAUGUUUGUGCAAAUCCUUGUCCUCAAGGUACUUGGGGUUAUAAUUGCUCAGAACAAUGUGAUUGCUACAAUUCUGCAACUUGUGAUCACAAAACUGGCCGCUGUAAAUGCCCAUCAGGUUACAUUGGCAACAAGUGUCAAGAUGAAUGUCCACUAGGCACCUAUGGUGUAAACUGUACAGAGACUUGUUCUUGUUACAAUGGAGCAACAUGUUCACACAUAAGUGGCCGUUGUUUCUGCAAAGAAGGUUGGCUGGGAACUCAGUGUUCCAUACCUGCUUGUCCACCAAACCAGUAUGGUCCAGGCUGUUCCCAUAUUUGUUCCUGUGAAAAGGAUAACACUGAAAGGUGUCAUCCAUGGACUGGAGCCUGCGAGUGUAAGGCUGGAUGGGCAGGAGAGACUUGUACAAGAGCAUGUCCUUUCUACAAAUAUGGAGAGAAAUGUGCUCAAAGUUGUCAGUGUAGAAAUGGAGCAUUCUGUGAUCCAGUUGACGGUACCUGCAUAUGUGCACCAGGCUACCAUGGGGCAUUGUGUGAUGAACACUGUCCUAAGUUUAAAUAUGGACAAAAAUGUGAGCUUGACUGUCGGUGUGAUAAUUCACAUGGCUGCUCACAUGAGUCAGGGAAGUGUUUCUGCAAGCCAGGAUGGGAAGGACAACAGUGCUCUCUCACUUGUCCACUUGGAAGUUAUGGAGAAAAUUGUUCUAAAACAUGUGACUGUCUCAAUAAUGGAUCAUGUGAUCCGGUGACAGGAGAAUGUAGCUGUGGUCCUGGACAUUAUGGAGAGAAAUGUGAAAAAACUUGUAGCCAGGGAAAUCAUGGAAUGGCUUGUGGAAACGUAUGUGCCUGUGUUGGGCCUCAUGUGGAAGGCUGUGAUGCUGAAACUGGCAGGUGUAUAUGCAAGCCUGGCUUUAGAGGUGUCAGUUGUCAAUCACACUGCCCACGUGGCUUCUAUGGAGAAUCUUGUUUGAAAAAAUGUGACUGCAAGAACAAUGGAUCUUGCAACUUUCAGACAGGGAAAUGUGUAUGUGAGCGUGGAUGGCAUGGAGCUGACUGUAAUACUCCAUGUCGGCCUGGGAAAUAUGGAGUAAAUUGUAAUCAGGACUGUCCUCCUUGUGUGCAUGGAAAUGGAACAUGUCACCCACAGCUAGGGACAUGUGUGUGCAAGGCUGGAUGGCGUGGUCCUCGCUGUGACCGCACAUGUGCACCAGGUACCUGGGGAAUUGGUUGUGCUAAUACUUGCAAGUGUCGCAAUGGAGCAGGAUGCAAUCAUGAGACAGGUCAGUGUUUGUGUUUGCCAGGCUGGAGAGGAAUAGACUGUUCACAGCCUUGUCCUCCAGGAAGUUUCGGUUACAAUUGCCUUCAGACCUGUCAUUGUCGCAACCAUGCAUCUUGUCGAGGAAGUGAUGGCUUCUGUGAAUGCAAGCCAGGAUGGAUGGGAUUUGGAUGCACUCAAACCUGCCCUGAGGGUUCCUUUGGUCGUCAAUGUUUCAAUGUUUGCAACUGCAGUACAGAAAACUCUAUUUGUCAUCCUGUCCAAGGCUGUAAGUGCCGCUAUGGAUUUGAAGGAGACAUGUGCGACAUCCCUAUCACUAGCCCAAUAUUCAAGGACAAAGACCCUGUCCUGCCUAAGCAGUCAACACAUAACAAUGCUGGACUCAUUGUGGGUGUUGUCUCCAUUAUCCUAAUCACUGUUGUGAUUGCUAUUAUCAUCUACUACAGGCGGCGACUGGUGCGUCUGAAACGCGAGUUAGCAGUGGUGCAGUACAUAGCUGAUCCAGCUGCUACAGAACGUCCCAGGCCUUCUGAGAACCGAGACAGUGCAAAGCUACGUUCUUCUUCUACUAAGCUUUCACAAAAGUCUGGACAACCUGUAGCAAAAAGGUGGAGUUCAAUAGCAGACCAACACCACUUUGACAAUCCUGUUUAUGCUUACCAGUCGGUGAGCAAAUCACAACCCAACCUACUUGAAAAUGGUAAUUUAAAUAAUGGUGUCACCAUCAAGAAUAAUCUCUCACUCAAGGAUGAUAAAAAUAGAGAGUGGGAGAAACUGGGCACCUUCACUUUUCAUGAUGAUGCAUGCAGUUUAGGAGCAGUUGGGGGUCACUAUGACGUGCCAUCAACACUACAACGACAAGCUCGUGUAAAAGCAUUAGAAGCAGAUGCCACAAAUCCAAACCUUAAUAUUUACCACUCUAUUGAGAGCCUGAAAGACAAUCGUCUAGUAGAGCACGUGUAUGAUGAGAUAAAGCAGCGGCCACCACCACAAAAAGAUCCAGUGUUCACAGUAUUCAGACGGAGCGGCUCGUGUAAGUUUGGCGCAUAUUAGUUGACGCCACGGUGCACCCAAGAAUUGUGCAAUACUUCGUUCCUGUUAGAGGAAUGUGAAUAUGACCACUUGACGUAUUCACGUCCACUGGGUGAAGUGAAGCCACACUACUACACUAUGGCAUCCCAGUUGCACAGGUCAGCUGACCAGCUGGCUGAGGAGGUAUUACCCAAUGGGAAGCCAGCUGCUG